CUGGGUCGCGCUAGGUCCCUAGGUCACGCACUCGCGCUAGCUCCUGUUUGCCUGUUCCUGCUCGCGCUCGAUGGCGCCGCCGCCGCCGCUCCGUGUCCCGCUCACUGCUACGCCCGCGCUCGGUGACCCUCGCUCAGAGCUCGCUGCUACACCCGCUCGCUGCUACGCCGCCGCCGCCAUACGCGUACGCCUAUACUGAGGUAGGUCAGUAGGGUUUGGUCGUUUGGAGCGGCACGCCAAUGAGCAGCGGGCGAGUUCCCAUUCCCCAGCUCCCCCAACCCGACGCAAUCUAUUUCCCGGCUUCAAGGAAUCAAGUUUAGGAUCACGUCUGUUGCUUGCUGGACUGGUGCUCGUUCAUUGUUUGCCUGUUUGGACUUUGGAGUAGUGUUUGUUCAUUAUUUGGUCCGAGAUUGAGAGGCUGUCAAACUGACAAUGGCUGUCAAUCCAUUAGUGCUAAGGUCUGGAAGUGGGAGUGUAUGUGCAAGCACAGGAGCAUCUCCUGCUGCUAUAUCACCCAUUGGCACUAAUCAGUCUGCACCUAGAACACAACAACUUGUCGGUGCUAUGGUUAUAAAAGGUGGAAGUGUCGAAAAUGUUGUUAAUACUGAAGAAGCUCGAGAUGAGUCCAAUGGCACCAAGAAAUUAGGACGUGGUGAGAAGAGGAAAAAACAAACAAAAAGCCUACCUCCAAGGUUUGGGACCACUUCACCAAGUUCACGGUGAUGCAGAAGGGAGAUGAUGGGAAGAUGGAGGAACAAGUUUGGGCAAAAUGCAAGAAGUGCACGUUCAAAACUUGUUGUGAAUACUCGAGGGGCACAACCGCCUUCUGGAACCAUUUGAAACUAAAGCAUUAUAUAAAGAAAGGGCAGCAAGAAUUACAAGUCCAGAAUGGUGAAGGUGACAAUGUUGUUGAUCAAACUUGUUCAAACUUUCAAGUAUGAUCUUGAAGUUAGCCUAAAAAGGUUCUAUAAGGCCAUGAUUAUGCAUGAGUACCCAUUUAUGAUGGUUGAACAUGAAUUCUUUGUUGAUUUCAUCAAGUCUCUGCGUCCACACUUUUCAUUCAAGUGUCGUACAAGCACUAGGAAUGAAAUAAUGCUAAUACACUUGGAUGAAAAGAAAAAAAUGUUUGAGCACCUUAAGUCUCUUUCUUGUCGAUUUUCUGCAACUAUGGAUAUGUGGACAUCAAACCAGAAUAAAGGUUAUAUGUGCAUCAC
This is a long non-coding RNA of Zea mays, 1214 nucleotides long. RefSeq lists it as uncharacterized. Lineage: Eukaryota; Viridiplantae; Streptophyta; Magnoliopsida; Poales; Poaceae. The transcript has 2 exons. The record is from RefSeq and is a predicted model, not a curated record.